Molecule: unclassified non-coding RNA, 1077 nt
Filed under: Leishmania donovani
Lineage: Eukaryota; Euglenozoa; Kinetoplastea; Trypanosomatida; Trypanosomatidae
Description: gene:unknown
Source: RNAcentral
CCGUCUUGCGCCCUCCUUUCUGUUUUGUUCACGCAUCCCCCUAACCCCACGCCGGAAGUUGAUCUGGCAGUGGGGAUGCUCUUUUCCGUGCUCGUUGACCUACCAUAUCUCUGUGGGCGCCCCUCUCCUCCACUGGCAUUCCCAUACUCUCCACCUCUGGCGCGCUACCCUCCUCCCUUCGCCAGGUCGUCUACUUCCUUUUGCAUCCGAUGUUUAUCCUUCGCUGUUACGUUCUGGAAGAGAGGGGAGGGGAGGGGGCCGCGGCGGCGCCUUGCCCGACUUCUCCCUGUGGUCUGGUGAACACGCACUCUUCUCCGGCGCUCUCGUUGACUACCUUGAAUGAGAUCCGUACACACUCACACGCACAUCCACACAGGAAGUAAAGCACGGAGGCACACCAGUGCGUGUGCUUGUGGGAACACCGUACACUCGUCUGUCGUUCUCCCGCCCCGCCAGUGAACGCACUGACGGAGCGACGAAGGCGUGCAUGACGAACAUAAAGAAAAGAGGCGUGCCACGAGGGGUGUUCACACAGAGGCAUUCAUCACGUACAUCAACGGAAAGGACGCAGUGGAUCUUGGCUUUCGCUCGCGACAACGGAGGCCAUGGAAGCCCCCAACCCCCUCCUUCCGUGGGUAUAUCCUACACACGUCUUGCUCUUGUCGUUGACAUGCUGCCGACCACACGCGUAUGCCCAAGCGAAAGCCAAAGCCAGCGAGAGAGAGAUGCCGCGGGAGCUCGAUGCUCGUCGCCUCCGCCGACCCCAUUCUCUCCCCCACCGCCUCUUCCCCAGCGUCGCUGCCACGUGUGCCUGCACCGUGGGUGUCAAACCGAGGUGGGACGAGAGCACAAGAGAGGGGGCGACACACCUAAAGCGCCCGGCGCCACGACAGGCGCAGGUGACGCUCACAUGCGGUGCAUCUCUCUUCCCUCCCCCUUUGCUCAAGCUCGUUGCGUUUCCCUUUUCUGCCUCCGGCUCUCUUCUAGUGUUGAUGCCCCCCCCCCUCGUAAUCCCGUCCCUCUCUCCACGUUAUCCCUCCAUCUCUUUGCUAUCCCGGUGUGGCUAUCGUGCGGGAG